Long non-coding RNA from Oxyura jamaicensis (ruddy duck), 584 nucleotides. RefSeq lists it as uncharacterized. The transcript is spliced from 3 exons. Lineage: Eukaryota; Metazoa; Chordata; Aves; Anseriformes; Anatidae. The record is from RefSeq and is a predicted model, not a curated record.
UGUGCCCUGUGAGCUGCUGUCAGCCCGUGGAGCCAGACCAGCAUGAAGGGUGGAGGGAGUCAGCAUUAAACCAAGUCUUGCAUUUGAUCAGGUACAAGGUAAAAUGGAAACAACAACAGCCUCCUCGCCAAUUCUUCUGAAGGAGCAUGUUCUGAGGAAAUUACAAGAUUACAACUCUCUCAAGCAUCAGAAAGACCUACCAGUGUGGAUGCUACACCACAUGGACAGGAGCUCUUACUGAAACUGUCUACUGCAUAUCCUUGCACCUGUGCAGAAUACGAUCAUUGUGGCUUUGUAGCUCAUGUUCAUUCACUCUUAACGUUAUUGCGUCUGAAACAAAUAAAAGUGGGAGUUUCAUGACAUAAAUACAUCUUUGAGAUAUUUGAUCACUAAAUUAGAUUUCCAUUAGCUUCUGAAUGACAACAAAAUUCAGCUAGGAGUAUCCAUUAGUAAAUGGCUUUGCUUCUUUCCUUUGACUGUCCACACAAAACAUAGAAAAAUCCAUUUCUGACAAACGUCGAAUGGAUUUAAUGUGCAAGUACAAUACAUGCAAUCUGCCCAAAAUUUGGAUGCCUGACAUCCAC